CUCGUGCUGAAGGACUGUAAGUGUGAAGCCGUGUUUCUUCCGAUCUGCGUUCAACCGAAGCCUCAAUGCUAGGUAUGUGGCUAAUCUAAUCACUGCAGAGGAGAGGAAUUGUAGAAAUUACGUGAGAAAAUUGCAAGGUAGGUUACUAAGAUGGUGGUUUCUGGUGGGGUUUGAAAGGGGCUUACUUGCGUUGGUUGAUUGCAACAAAGGAAGGAUAACAUCCAUGACCUAUUUAAAAGGGAUGUUUGGUGGUCAUAAAAAAAAAGCAAAGAUUUUUUUUUAAUGCAUGUCUUCCAAUGUCUAUUAUUUUUUUUUUGUUCCGUUGCAACGCACGGGCAUUUCAGCUAGCGACAUCUAUAAACUAUUCCACAUCCCCUUAUCUGCCAUAUCUGCACUAAAAUGUCAGGAACUAUAUGAUUUCCUCAAUGAUACGACAUCUGAUGGCAAGGACAUAUGGGCUCUUGACGUAUUGGGGUGGAGAACGCUUCAGAACUGAUAAAGUAUAUAGAGCUAUGCUUAACUCUGAACCUGUUGCUCGCCCUUUCAGCUGUAUUUGGAAAUCGGCUUGUCUCUCCAAACAAAAGUUCUUUUUAUGGCUACUCAUUCUAGACAGGCUCGACACCAGAGACCUUAUGAUGAGAAAGAAUUUCUAUGUUGAAGACAAUAACUGUGUGCUAUGUGAUGAGGGCAUCGAUGAAAGUAUGACAAUCUUUUCUUUGAAUGCAACUUCGGUCAGAGCUUUUGGUGGAAAUUAGGCAUGGAAUGGAAUCCAGACCUACAACUCUUUAACAUGCUUAUGCAAUCAGGGGCUCAAAACCAGAAUGUCAUAUGCUUUAAGGAAGUACUUAUCUUGGGAUGUUGGUCCUUAUGGAAUCAUAGAAAUCAUAU
Molecule: long non-coding RNA, 888 nt
Filed under: Brachypodium distachyon (stiff brome)
Lineage: Eukaryota; Viridiplantae; Streptophyta; Magnoliopsida; Poales; Poaceae
Description: long non-coding RNA (BDIS_LNC001245)
Source: RNAcentral